UGGGAACGUACCUUUUGGUUCGGAACAACACAGGGAAACUUGUGCUAAUACCGGAUAAGCCCUUACGGGGAAAGAUUUAUCGCCGAAAGAUCGGCCCGCGUCUGAUUAGCUAGUUGGUGAGGUAAUGGCUCACCAAGGCGACGAUCAGUAGCUGGUCUGAGAGGAUGAUCAGCCACAUUGGGACUGAGACACGGCCCAAACUCCUACGGGAGGCAGCAGUGGGGAAUAUUGGACAAUGGGGGCAACCCUGAUCCAGCCAUGCCGCGUGAGUGAUGAAGGCCCUAGGGUUGUAAAGCUCUUUUGUGCGGGAAGAUAAUGACGGUACCGCAAGAAUAAGCCCCGGCUAACUUCGUGCCAGCAGCCGCGGUAAUACGAAGGGGGCUAGCGUUGCUCGGAAUCACUGGGCGUAAAGGGUGCGUAGGCGGGUCUUUAAGUCAGGGGUGAAAUCCUGGAGCUCAACUCCAGAACUGCCUUUGAUACUGAAGAUCUUGAGUCCGGGAGAGGUGAGUGGAACUGCGAGUGUAGAGGUGAAAUUCGUAGAUAUUCGCAAGAACACCAGUGGCGAAGGCGGCUCACUGGC
RNAcentral lists this ribosomal RNA (580 nucleotides) under Bradyrhizobium sp. RNAcentral's name for it is "bacterial SSU rRNA". It matches the Rfam family "Bacterial small subunit ribosomal RNA", at positions 118 to 733 of the family's 1533-position model. Lineage: Bacteria; Pseudomonadati; Pseudomonadota; Alphaproteobacteria; Hyphomicrobiales; Nitrobacteraceae. The record is from RNAcentral.